ACAAGUACCGUGAGGGAAAGUUGCAAAGCACUUUGAAGAGAGAGUUAAAGAGGACGUGAAACCGGUAGGAUGGAAACGGAUAGAGCCAGCGAAGCCGUUCGUAUUCAGCCAAAGGCCCGGCUCUGCUCGGCGGUGUGUUUCUCAUCGAGCACAUCGUUGAUGUUUGAGUCGGGCCUAGGCGCAUUUGCGGAUGAUUGCGCUGAGACGUGCGGACCAGCUGCUGGACCCGAGUCUAGAGGCUUCCCUUUGGGUUGAACCUGGGCACGGUUACGGCUGUUUGGUCUGCUCGUAUUGGUCUGGCCUACGGACCUGGGGUUGGUUGUUGCUGACAGGCAAAGGUACCGCAUGCGAUGCCUAGCUUGAAGGUUGCGGCCAGCUUCAGUGUUCCCUGACCUACUCUCGGUGUAGAAGCUGGUCAUCUCUCCGACCCGUCUUGAAACACGGACCAAGGAGUUUAGCGUAUGCGCGAGUCAUUGGGUGACAAAACCCAUAGGCGCAAUGAAAGUGAAGGCUCGGUCACCGAGCUGACAUGCGAGUGUCUUAGCCUCGGCCUGGGCAUGCAGCAUGGUCCCGUUGCGAUCGCUUGCGAUGCAGCGGAGACAGAGCGUAUGCGCUGAGACCCGAAAGAUGGUGAACUAUUCCUGAGCAGGACGAAGCCAGAGGAAACUCUGGUGGAAGUCCGAAGCGAUUCUGACGUGCAAAUCGAUCGUCUGACUUGGGUAUAGGGGCGAAAGACUAAUCGAACCAUCUAGUAGCUGGUUCCUUCCGA
RNAcentral lists this ribosomal RNA (769 nucleotides) under Hemicaloosia guangzhouensis. Its description in RNAcentral is "eukaryotic LSU rRNA". It matches the Rfam family "Eukaryotic large subunit ribosomal RNA", at positions 344 to 964 of the family's 3401-position model. Lineage: Eukaryota; Metazoa; Nematoda; Chromadorea; Rhabditida; Hemicycliophoridae. The record is from RNAcentral.